UCCUGGCUUAGGAUGAACGCUGGCGGCGUGCUUAACACAUGCAAGUCGAACGGAGCAGCUUCUUGCUGCAAGAAGUUGACUUAGUGGCGGACGGGUGAGUAACGCGUGGGUAACCUGCCUCAUACAGGGGGAUAACAGUUGGAAACGACUGCUAAGACCGCAUAACCCGCUAGUGUCGCAUGACACGGACGGAAAAUAUUUAUAGGUAUGAGAUGGGCCCGCGUCUGAUUAGCUAGUUGGUAAGGUAACGGCUUACCAAGGCGACGAUCAGUAGCCGACUUGAGAGAGUGAUCGGCCACAUUGGGACUGAGACACGGCCCAAACUCCUACGGGAGGCAGCAGUGGGGAAUAUUGGACAAUGGGGGAAACCCUGAUCCAGCGAACCGCCGCGUGAGUGAAGAAGUAUUUCGGUAUGUAAAGCUCUACCAGCAGGGAAGAUAAUGACAGUACCUGACUAAGAAGCCCCGGCUAACUACGUGCCAGCAGCAGC
Molecule: ribosomal RNA, 490 nt
Filed under: uncultured bacterium
Lineage: Bacteria
Description: bacterial SSU rRNA
Rfam family: Bacterial small subunit ribosomal RNA
Source: RNAcentral